RNAcentral lists this transfer RNA (93 nucleotides) under Annulohypoxylon truncatum. RNAcentral's name for it is "tRNA-Glu". Lineage: Eukaryota; Fungi; Ascomycota; Sordariomycetes; Xylariales; Hypoxylaceae. The record is from RNAcentral.
UCCGAAUUGGUGUAGUGGCUAACAUUUGACGCUCUCAUGAUCUAAACAUCAUAAGGAUCCGUCAAGCCCGGGGUUCGAUUCCCCGAUUCGGAG